CCCUUAGAUGUUCUGGGCCGCACGCGCGCUACACUGACGAAUGCAACGAGCUUAUAACCUUGGCCGAAAGGUCUGGGUAAUCUCCAAAUUUCGUCGUGAUGGGGAUAGAUUAUUGCAAUUAUUAAUCUUCAACGAGGAAUGCCUAGUAAGCGCAAGUCAUCAGCUUGCGUUGAUUACGUCCCUGCCCUUUGUACACACCGCCCGUCGCACCUACCGAUUGAAUGGUCCGGUGAAGCCUCGGGAUUGCGAAUGCUUCGUGCGGACGCGAGAACUUGGCUAAACCUUACCAUUUAGAGGAAGGUGAAGUCGUAACA
This 314-nucleotide ribosomal RNA is filed under the name uncultured eukaryote. RNAcentral describes it as "partial 18S ribosomal RNA". It matches the Rfam family "Eukaryotic small subunit ribosomal RNA", at positions 1470 to 1796 of the family's 1831-position model. The record is from RNAcentral.